This 427-nucleotide ribosomal RNA is filed under the name uncultured bacterium. Its description in RNAcentral is "partial 16S ribosomal RNA". It matches the Rfam family "Bacterial small subunit ribosomal RNA", at positions 355 to 774 of the family's 1533-position model. The record is from RNAcentral.
UGGGGAAUAUUGCACAAUGGGCGCAAGCCUGAUGCAGCCAUGCCGCGUGUAUGAAGAAGGCCUUCGGGUUGUAAAGUACUUUCAGCGGGGAGGAAGGCGAUAAGGUUAAUAACCUUGUCGAUUGACGUUACCCGCAGAAGAAGCACCGGCUAACUCCGUGCCAGCAGCCGCGGUAAUACGGAGGGUGCAAGCGUUAAUCGGAAUUACUGGGCGUAAAGCGCACGCAGGCGGUCUGUCAAGUCGGAUGUGAAAUCCCCGGGCUCAACCUGGGAACUGCAUCCGAAACUGGCAGGCUUGAGUCUUGUAGAGGGGGGUAGAAUUCCAGGUGUAGCGGUGAAAUGCGUAGAGAUCUGGAGGAAUACCGGUGGCGAAGGCGGCCCCCUGGACAAAGACUGACGCUCAGGUGCGAAAGCGUGGGGAGCAAACA